UUUUUUUAGCGGUAACUCUGCCAGUGACAUUGCUUCAACGGCCGCGGUAUCCUGACCGUGCAAAGGUAGCACAAUAAUGAGCCUCCUAAUUAGAGGAUAGAAUGAAUGAAUCAACGAAAAAGAUACUGUCUCAUAAAUACCCACUGAAAUUUAUAAAUGGGUGAAAAAGCCCAUAUAUUAAUUAAAGACAAGAAGACCCUAUAAACUUUUUUUAAAUUUAAUAAACCUAAUUAAAUAUUAUUUAGUUGGGGCGACUCAAAGAUUUAAACACUUUUAAUCAUUAGAGGCAAUAUCUCACUUUAACUAUCCAAUAACAAUCAAGCAAGCUACUAUAGGGAUAACAGGCUAAUACUUUCCAAGAGUACAUAUCUACGAAAGUGCUUGGCACCUCGAUGUUGGCUUAGGGCGUCUAUUUCAUGCAGAAGUGAAAAAAGAAGGUUUGUUCAACCAUUAAUUCCCU
This 460-nucleotide ribosomal RNA is filed under the name Syllis hyalina. RNAcentral describes it as "partial 16S ribosomal RNA". It matches the Rfam family "Bacterial large subunit ribosomal RNA", at positions 1890 to 2597 of the family's 2925-position model. The record is from RNAcentral. Lineage: Eukaryota; Metazoa; Annelida; Polychaeta; Phyllodocida; Syllidae.